GAUGAACGCUGGCGGCGUGCCUAAUACAUGCAAGUCGAGCGAACAGACGAUGAGCUUGCUCCUCUGACGUUAGCGGCGGACGGGUGAGUAACACGUGGAUAACCUACCUAUAAGACUGGGAUAACUUCGGGAAACCGGAGCUAAUACCGGAUAAUAUAUUGAACCGCAUGGUUCAAUAGUGAAAGACGGUUUUGCUGUCACUUAUAGAUGGAUCCGCGCCGCAUUAGCUAGUUGGUAAGGUAACGGCUUACCAAGGCAACGAUGCGUAGCCGACGUGAGAGGGUGAUCGGCCACACGGGAGCUGAGACACGGUCCAGGCUCCUACGGGAGGCAGCAGUAGGGAAUCUUCCGCAAUGGGCGAAAGCCUGACGGAGCAACGCCGCGUGAGUGAUGAAGGUCUUCGGAUCGUAAAACUCUGUUAUUAGGGAAGAACAAAUGUGUAAGUAACUAUGCACGUCUUGACGGUACCUAAUCAGAAAGCCACGGCUAACUACGUG
Molecule: ribosomal RNA, 497 nt
Filed under: uncultured bacterium
Lineage: Bacteria
Description: partial 16S ribosomal RNA
Rfam family: Bacterial small subunit ribosomal RNA
Source: RNAcentral